Paramisgurnus dabryanus is the source of this 144-nucleotide long non-coding RNA. RefSeq lists it as uncharacterized. Lineage: Eukaryota; Metazoa; Chordata; Actinopteri; Cypriniformes; Cobitidae. The record is from RefSeq and is a predicted model, not a curated record.
AAAAGAGAGCGCUGACGUUGGAAUACUGUGCAGUUAAUAAAUAAUAUAAGAGAGUGUUGCUGUUCUUAAGAGUUUUAGUAAUGUGUGCGUGCAACUACCAAACCACACACAAAUACUUUCUUUAAUAAAACAUCCUAAAGAGAA